RNAcentral lists this non-coding RNA (793 nucleotides) under Aedes vexans. Lineage: Eukaryota; Metazoa; Arthropoda; Insecta; Diptera; Culicidae. The record is from RNAcentral.
AUAUUAUUUUAUUUUGGUUAAUAUUUUUAUUAUUAUUUUAUUUUACAUGUAAAUUUUUGUGUGAAUUAAUUUAAUUUUUAAAAAAUUAAAUUUGUUUAUUUAUUCGCAGUAAUUAAUAUUAAUUAAAAAAGAAAUUUUGUAUUAGUAAUAAUAUAUAGUAUUGGUAAAAUUUGUGCCAGCUACCGCGGUUAUACAAAUAAUGCAAGUAAAAAUUUUUAGUAUUAGUUAAAUUGUAAAAAUUUAAUAAUAUAAAUAUAAAUUUAUUAGGUGAAAUUUUUAAAUUUAUUUAUUUAUUAUUAAAAAAGAGUGAUUUAAGCUAUAAACUUUUUAUAAUAAACUAGGAUUAGAUACCCUAUUAUUGAAAAUAAAUAUUUAAAUACUAAAGUAGUAUUAGUUAUAUUCUUAAAAUUUAAAAAAUUUGGCGGUGUUUUAGUCUAUUUAGAGGAAUCUGUCCUGUAAUUGAUAAUCCACAUUGAACCUUACUUAAAUUUGUUUAAUUUGUAUAUCGCCGUCAUCAGAAUAUGUUAUAAGAUAAAAAUUUUCUUAAUAUUUAAUUAAAUAGAAUGUCAGGUCAAGGUGCAGUUUAUGUUUAAGUAGAGAUGGAUUACAAUAAAUUUAUUUAAAUGGAUAAUUUUUUGAAAUAAAAAUUUGAAGGUGGAUUUAAUAGUAAUAUAAAAUAGAUUAUUUAUAUGAUUUUAGCUCUAAAACAUGUACAUAUCGCCCAUCGUUCUUAUUUUUAAAAUAAGAUAAGUUGUAACAUAGUAGAUGUACUGGAAAGUGUAUCUAGAAAGAC